GUGCAGCAGUCGAGAAUAGUCUACAAUGGACGAAAGUCUGAUAGUGCGACGCCGUGUGUGCGAUUAAUUCCUUCGGGAUGUAAAGCACUUUUCUAUGAGAUAAAAGCUCUUUAGGUUAAUAGCUUAUUGAGACGGAUAUUAUUAUAGGAAUAAGCUCCGGCUAACUCCGUGCCAGCAGCCGCGGUAAUACGGAAGGAGCGAGCGUUGUCCGGAUUUACUAGGCGUAAAGGGCUAGUAGGCGACUAAUUAAGUUAUAUGUUAAAUCCCACGGCUCAACUGUGGUCCUGCAUGUAAUACUGGUUAGAUAGAGUACUGUAGAGGAAGGCAGAAUUCCUGGAGUAGCGGUGGAAUGCGCAGAUAUCAGGAAGAAUACCAAAAGCGAAGGCAGCCUUCUGGGCAGUUACUGACGCUGAAUAGCGAAGGUGUGGGUAGCGAACAGGAUUAGAUACCCGCGUAG
This 457-nucleotide ribosomal RNA is filed under the name uncultured microorganism. RNAcentral's name for it is "bacterial SSU rRNA". It matches the Rfam family "Bacterial small subunit ribosomal RNA", at positions 346 to 793 of the family's 1533-position model. The record is from RNAcentral.